This is a long non-coding RNA of Condylura cristata (star-nosed mole), 979 nucleotides long. RefSeq lists it as uncharacterized. Lineage: Eukaryota; Metazoa; Chordata; Mammalia; Eulipotyphla; Talpidae. The record is from RefSeq and is a predicted model, not a curated record. The transcript is spliced from 3 exons.
UCUUGGAUUCACAGGGUGCUCAGCAAGUGGAGUGUCCCAGAAGCUGCCCAGUCGGGUCAGCUGGGCCCCGGUGAGCCCACCUGCCUCCUGAACAAGGGGUUACCAGCAGUGAGUGGGCUUGUGCCAUGAGCAGGCGACAUGAGCUCAGCUCCUCCUCUCGUGAGCUCAGCUCCUUCCGUCCGGAGCCCAACAGAGAGGAGUCCCAUUUUCAGUGGGAAAGAAGCAGUUCUGGGGAAUCUGAGAUGUCUGGGAGAAGAAAGGACAUAACAAGACCUGUGUCCCCGAGAUGGAUUCCCAUCUGCCUGGAAAAGGACCGGCUCUCCAGGCCUGUGCUCCCAGGGCACUGGCAGCCUCAUUCCAGAAAGGAAAGAAGUUGAAGCAACCUUAGCCUGGAUGCACUUUUCUGCAAAUUAGAUUCCACUUAGCUCCUCGACUUCCAUGACAAGAUGAGACUCCACUCCCCAGGGAAGACAUCUUGGUAGAAGGAUGGGACCAUGUGGUAUGGAAGGCCCCUGGGGGCAGCAGCUUGGCAGAACUGUGGAACAUUUGUGUGUUUCCGUGACCUGCCCCAUCUACUCUUCCCUGGCCGCAGGAAUUUCUUCCAUUUGAGAGGAUGGAGACUCUCAGAUGAGACCCAGUGUCUCUGGUCCUUCUUCCUGCUGUGUUCAGCCUUGUGGUCUCUGGCUGUGGCCCCCAUGGCUAUUUGAGGGAAGGGCGUGGAUUUUUCCAUGAUACCAGCCUUGGAAAGCAGGUGGCACCAGGGUGGGGAACUUGGGCAGUUGCAGUUUGCUGAAGAGGCCUGGGCUCACUGUGCCCCCCAGCAACAUCAUGCUGAGCCCUCUUUUCCAGUACCUGACCCACCUAGCUCACAGGUGCCCCUGAGUGUGGUGGAGCAGGGCAUUUGAUUGAAUAUUGCCAAAACGUCAAGAGUUAAGAAACAGUGAGGAUGAGGAGAAACCAGACCCCUCAUGUGCUAUUG